Molecule: transfer RNA, 73 nt
Filed under: Stegodyphus mimosarum
Lineage: Eukaryota; Metazoa; Arthropoda; Arachnida; Araneae; Eresidae
Rfam family: tRNA
About the family: Transfer RNA (tRNA) molecules are approximately 80 nucleotides in length. Their secondary structure includes four short double-helical elements and three loops (D, anti-codon, and T loops).
Source: Rfam by way of RNAcentral
GCCUUCGUGGUGUGGUGGUCAGCACGCUUGACGUAUAUUCGAGAGGUUCAUGGUUCGAGUCCGGGCGAGGGCA